AAAUUGAAGAGUUUGAUCAUGGCUCAGAUUGAACGCUGGCGGCAGGCCUAACACAUGCAAGGCGAACGGUAACAGAAAGCAGCUUGCUGCUUUGCUGACGAGUGGCGGACGGGUGAGUAAUGUCGGGGAAAAUGCCUGAUGGAGGGGGAUAACUACUGGAAACGUUAGCUAAUACCGCAUAAC
Molecule: ribosomal RNA, 183 nt
Filed under: Escherichia coli
Lineage: Bacteria; Pseudomonadati; Pseudomonadota; Gammaproteobacteria; Enterobacterales; Enterobacteriaceae
Description: partial 16S ribosomal RNA
Rfam family: Bacterial small subunit ribosomal RNA
Source: RNAcentral